Molecule: long non-coding RNA, 1172 nt
Organism: Cucumis melo (muskmelon)
Lineage: Eukaryota; Viridiplantae; Streptophyta; Magnoliopsida; Cucurbitales; Cucurbitaceae
Exons: 3
Source: RefSeq, a predicted model, not a curated record
GACAGAGUUUGCUAUAUCCCUCCUCCAAACCUUGGUUGUGGAUGAAUCGAGUGUAAUUUCAGAACUUCACAAUUUUGUUGAUGAAUUAGCUAAGGUUGCUGCAAAACCUGGAUCUUUCAAGCCUUUACAGCAUCUAGUUGAGAUAAUCAAGAAUCCUGCUACUAGUAUAUAUCAGCGGUUAAGUUUUAUUAAAGCCAAGAGCAAAAGUAUCAUUGGAAGAUAUGGCUGCUAUUGUAGAUAUUGGGUUAGAAUUGUCUCACACGUCACAAGACAAGUUGCAUGCACAGGUGCUAAUAUUUACAUUUGAAAUGUUAGAAUUGCUCUACUAAUAGUGACACUACCAAUAAUUAUACUAAUGAUUUUGAAUGCAAUAUUUGCUUUGAGUUAGCUCAAGACCCAAUUAUUAUUCUUUGUUGUCAUCUCUUUUGAUGGUCUUGUUUAUAUAGAAGGUUGCAUCAUCACUCACAAUGUUAAGAAUAUCUUGUUUGCAUUCAACACCUUUCAUGGAGGUCAUGGUUGUCACCAUUUUUGCAACCCUCAACUCUAGGUCAGCAUGCUGAUAAGGUACUAAAAAACCUUCAGUUAGGUCAGCAUGGUCAAAUUGUUUUAUUGUUGUCUUUAUAAUUCUUGCCUUGUUCUGGUGGUGAAAGAUAAAUGUUUGACACCAAUGAAAAUUGCACAAGUGUAGAAAUUUUCAUUUAGAGCUUAUGAAGUAGGUUAGCUGACACUGUACUGAUCAUAUAUAGUGUUAUUUGCCUUUUGUGUAAAACACGUACUUUAUGUUAAUUUCCUAUAUUCCUAAAUUCUCAUCACAUCUUAGUUCCCUAUAAAGAUGCUCAUUACUUAAUCUUCUAUAUUAAUUAUGAUCCAUGUUAAUUUAAACAAGUUGAUCCUUGAUGAGAUUUCUGUUUACCCAUUUGUUUCAACUCAGAUUGUGUGAGUGAUAUGUAGCUAAAUAUAUGAUCUGAUUUCUUUAAUAAUAUUAAUUUUUACCAAAUAAGAAAUUGUAGGAAUUUAUGUUUCCUGGCCAGGGGUUUUGUUUUUCUUAACAAGUAGUGAAGUAUAUAAACUAUCGAGGUCUAGUGCUAUGCAUGCUCGAUAGACUAUUAUUAUAUUUUAAUGUGCCGAUUGCCAAAUAUAUGAGCUUUAUACUAAUCUUUAGAGUUUAUCAU